RNAcentral lists this ribosomal RNA (444 nucleotides) under Klebsiella michiganensis. RNAcentral describes it as "bacterial SSU rRNA". It matches the Rfam family "Bacterial small subunit ribosomal RNA", at positions 1 to 443 of the family's 1533-position model. Lineage: Bacteria; Pseudomonadati; Pseudomonadota; Gammaproteobacteria; Enterobacterales; Enterobacteriaceae. The record is from RNAcentral.
AAAUUGAAGAGUUUGAUCAUGGCUCAGAUUGAACGCUGGCGGCAGGCCUAACACAUGCAAGUCGAGCGGUAACACAGAGAGCUUGCUCUCGGGUGACGAGCGGCGGACGGGUGAGUAAUGUCUGGGAAACUGCCUGAUGGAGGGGGAUAACUACUGGAAACGGUAGCUAAUACCGCAUAACGUCGCAAGACCAAAGAGGGGGACCUUCGGGCCUCUUGCCAUCAGAUGUGCCCAGAUGGGAUUAGCUAGUAGGUGGGGUAACGGCUCACCUAGGCGACGAUCCCUAGCUGGUCUGAGAGGAUGACCAGCCACACUGGAACUGAGACACGGUCCAGACUCCUACGGGAGGCAGCAGUGGGGAAUAUUGCACAAUGGGCGCAAGCCUGAUGCAGCCAUGCCGCGUGUAUGAAGAAGGCCUUCGGGUUGUAAAGUACUUUCAGCGGG